RNAcentral lists this ribosomal RNA (221 nucleotides) under Vibrio parahaemolyticus. RNAcentral's name for it is "partial 16S ribosomal RNA". It matches the Rfam family "Bacterial small subunit ribosomal RNA", at positions 1323 to 1533 of the family's 1533-position model. Lineage: Bacteria; Pseudomonadati; Pseudomonadota; Gammaproteobacteria; Vibrionales; Vibrionaceae. The record is from RNAcentral.
AAGUCGGAAUCGCUAGUAAUCGUGGAUCAGAAUGCCACGGUGAAUACGUUCCCGGGCCUUGUACACACCGCCCGUCACACCAUGGGAGUGGGCUGCAAAAGAAGUAGGUAGUUUAACCUUCGGGGGGGACGCUUACCACUUUGUGGUUCAUGACUGGGGUGAAGUCGUAACAAGGUAGCGCUAGGGGAACCUGGCGCUGGAUCACCUCCUUAAACGAUGAU